AUGUUUUGGGUCCUAAACUGCUAAAAAGUACAUUUUGGGGCCUGUUCUUCAUAUCGAAGCGUAACUUUGAUUCGAAUUUACUACAUCGGUCACUUGUAAUAUUGUUUCACACCUACAACACUUGUUACACAGAUCUAAGUGAUGGAAAACAGGUUGAUAUUUUCUACACUAGAAACUACCAGAUAACAAGCUGCUAUAUUUAAACCAGUUAUCAAUAGCUAAGAGGUACUUAUACAAUAUUGUAAUUCUAGGGCAAUACCCUCACAAGUCAAACUGAG
This is a non-coding RNA of Pelobates cultripes (western spadefoot toad), 278 nucleotides long. NCBI's taxonomy places the organism in Eukaryota, Metazoa, Chordata, Amphibia, Anura, Pelobatidae. The record is from the annotation of a GenBank genome assembly.